AACCAUUGAUUAAGGGGUAUGAACUCACCUGUAGUGAGUGGUACGGAUGUACUGAAGAUGUAGGAUUGCUAGGUGUCAAGUGAAGUCUUGAACACACGCUAUGAUUCUAGUUAACAUAUAAUCACACAUAUGUGUUCCCAAUUAGAUUUAAACUACUAAUUGAAAUUGUUUAGACCUCCUAGAACCUGCUAAACACUUUACAUAAGUGUUAUUAGCCUUAAGGACUUCAUCUAAAUUGUUGUAGGACCCGGCUAGUGAGUUUAGGGUUCCAAAGGACCCCAUAUAUGAGUUUACUCUCCAAUAAACUUCACACAAGGAGUUUACGGUCGUAAACCCUUGAGUUUACUGCCGUGAACUCCUAGUCUUAAUGUCCUUUGGUGUUUUGAAGUUCUAAAUGAUCCCUAGAAGCAUUCCUACUUGGUGGAUUAAUUCAUGGAAGGGUUUAGGGCACUAAUACACUCCUUUGAGGAGUUUACGGCCCCAAGGCCAUUUCCUUUUGAGUUUACUGCCGUAAACUCAUAUGGAAAGGGGUGUUUUUGUGUUUUCAAUUCCCAUACUCAUCUAGGAUAUGUUUUGGACAAUUAUCUAAGGCUAAUGAAGGCCUUAGGCACACUUUGGUACCCCCUUUUGAUGUUCACGGCCCAAGAACCAUUUCCUUUAGAGAUUACGGCCGUAAUCUCUCAUGGGGAUGGGGUUUUGAUGUUUUAGAGUCCUUAAAUUAGCUAGUAGCAAAUCAAGGUAAUUGUCCUAGGCUUUAGGAGUUAUUAAAACACUCUUUGGCCCUUGAUUUUGGAGUUCACAGUCCAAGAACUUCUUGGGCCGUGAACACCUAAAUCUUGGUGUUCAUGGAUGGUUUCUAGUCUUAUAAACACUAGCAUACAAGCCUAAGGUGGUUACAUAUCACGGGGGAAAGACUAGGCAUCAAUUUAGGAGUUUACUCCCCAAGGUGUUCUUGGGUGGUAAACUCCCGAAUCUAGUUGUUUUGCUAUGAAAUCGAUGUUAUUAAGCACAUUACUAGCUAUAUAAUACAACUAGAGAGAGGUACUCAUGAUUUGGGAUGAAAACCCGAAGAUCCAUGAGAGAGAAAAUGGCUUUUCUCUAGCUGGAAAUGUAACUAAUGAAAUAAUUUGGUUAAGAAUUAUAUAUAUAGUCCUGGGAUUUUUGGCAGAAAAUAUUUUUAUUCAAGAAAUGAAUUCUAGUAGCAUAGAGUUCUGAAAUAACAGAGUUGCACAAAACCCUAGUGCAUCCUCUCUCCUGAUAUCUCUUUAAGUGUAAAUCCUGAAUUACUCAAACUUAUACUGAAAAGUCUGAAAACUUACUGCAACUGUUCUGACUUCUAUUGAAGUGAUAUUGUUUAUACAUAAUAGAAUUUCGGGUUGUCUCGUCAUCCCCUCCUUAGAAGGAAUUUCGUCUCGAAAUUAGAAUUUAAGAAAAUAAGUAGUUACAAAUAACUAAGUAAAAAGACGAGGAUAUUUCAGUUUCAUCUGAUCCUCACGCUCCCAAGUGAAUUCCGGUCCUCGCUUAGCGUUCCAGCAAACCUUCACUAUCGGAAUACGGCUUUGUUUCGUUUGCUUGAUCUCUCGGUCCAUGAUCUCUACCGGUUCCUCCAUGAUGUUGAGGCUCUCAUUGAUCUUGAUCUCGUCGAGUGGAAUAACAAGAGUCUCGUAGGACAGACACUUUUUCAAGUUCGAUACGUGGAAGGUAGAAUGUACGUUACUGAGUUUGCGUUGUAAGUUAAGUUUGUAAGCUACUGGGCCGAUUCUUGUCAGAAUCUCGAAAGGCCCAAUGUACCUUGGAUUUAGCUUUCCACGCUUUCCGAAGCGUAUCAAGCCCUUCCAGGGUGAGACCUUCAAUAGAACGCUGUCGCCCACCUGGAAUUCCAACGGUUUCCUACGUUUAUCAGCGUAGCAUUUCUGUCGGUCUCUGGAGGCUUUCAAUCGUUCACGGAUCUGAACGAUCUUCUCCGUCAUUUCCCGUAUGAUUUCCGGACCUGUGAGAGUGCUUUCGGGAAUUUGUCCCUUAGCUAACUGGGUAUCACCCACCUCAGCCCAGCACAGAGGGGAUCUGCACUUGCGGCCAUAGAGGGCCUCGAAUGGAGCUACCUUUAUGCCCGUGUGAUAACUAUUGUUGUAGAAAAUUCGACAAGGGGUAAAUGAGUAUCCCAUGCUUUCCCAAAGUCUAUCACAUAGGCUCGCAACAUAUCUUCCAAGGUUUGGAUAGUUCUCUCACUUUGCCCGUCGGUCUGUGGAUGGUAGGCUGUACUCAUGUCCAGCCUAGUUCCUAAGGAACUUUGUAACGACUGCCAGAACCUCAAAGUGAAUCUACUAUCUCUGUCUGAGAUAAUGGAUAAGGNUCUUACAAUCUCCCUAAUGUAUGUUCGUGUGAGUUUCUCCAUCUUGUUUGUUUCUUUGAUUGGCAAGAAGUGUGCAGACUUGGUCAGUCUAUCGACGAUGACCCAUAUGGAAUCAAGUCCACCAUCGUCUUGGGCAACUUGGUUAUGAAAUCCAUACUUAUCCGCUCCCACUUCCAUUCUGGUAUCUCAGGCUGUUGUAGAAGACCGGAGGGUUUCUGGUAUUCGAUCUUGACCUUUGUGCAAGUAAGGCAUUUACUCACGAAGGUAGCAAUCUCUGCUUUCAUGUUAGGCCACCAGUAUAACUUUUUGAGGUCCAGAUACAUCUUAUCUGAUCCCGGGUGCAUGGAAUAACGAGUGUUGUGCGCCUCGUUCAUGACCAAGUCUCUGAAACCACCUAGUUUCGGGGUCCAGAUCCGGUCCAUGAAAUAAUAAGCUCCGCCACCCUUAAUCUCUAAGUUCUUAUCCAUCCCUCUUAGGGAUUCACCUGCCACAUUUUCGGGCUUCAAAGCAUCGAGCUGAGCUGCCUUAAUUUGUGUGGACAAGUGUGAAUGGAUAGUCAUAGGCAAUGAUUUGACUCUACGACAAGAAUAUUCCUUCCGACUCAGGGCUGCAGCUACUACGUUGGCUUUACCCAGAUGAUAACGAAUUUCGCAUUCGUAAUCACUGAGUAGCUCGACCCACCGUCAUUGUCUCAUGUUGAGCUCCUUCUGGUCGAAAAUGUGUUGUAAGCUCUUGUGGCCUGUAAAGAUAGUGCUCUUCAUUCCUUACAAGUAAUGUCUCCAGAUCUUUAGGGCAAACACAACUGCUCCUAAUUCAAGAUCGUGGGUCGUGUAGUUGACCUCAUGUGUUUUCAGCUGUCUCGAGGCAUAGGCGAUGACUUUACCUUGCUGCAUCAGAACACAUCCAAGUCCUUGAUUCGAUGCAUCGCAAUAGACAACGAAGUCUUCUAUUCCUUCGGGAAGGGAUAGUAUUGGCGCGGUGCACAAGGCUCGUUUGAGCAUUUGGAACGCUCUCUCCUGCUUCUCUUCCCAGUCAAAGGCCACGCCCUUCUGGGUUAGUGUUGUAAGAGGUUUCGCUAUGCGGGAGAAGUUUUGAAUGAACCUGCGGUAGUAACCAGCGAGGCCUAGAAAUUGACGAAUUUCCGUAGGAGUCUUCGGUGCUGACCAGUUCUCAAUGGCCUUGAUUUUGGAAGGGUCCAUGUGUAUACCCUCUUCGCUAACCACGUGCCCUAAGAAUUCCACUCGCCGAAUCCAAAAUUCGCAUUUCGAGAACUUCGCGUAGAGCUUCUCUGUACGUAAUGUUUCGAGGACUUGACGCAGAUGUUGAUUAUGCUCCUCCUUACUUCGAGAGUAGAUAAGUAUGUCAUUGACGAAGACGAUGAUAAACUGAUCCAAGUAAGGACGACACACCCUAUUCAUUAAGUCCAUGAAUACAACAGGCGCGUUUGUCAAUCCGAACGGCAUCACUACGAAUUCGUAGUGCCCAUAACGAGUUCGGAAGGCUGUCUUUGGAACAUCCUCCCCUUGCACUCGUAGUUGGUGAUAUCAGGAUCUCAAGUCGAUUUUUGAAAAGAAGUUCGCCCCUUGUAGUUGGUCAAAAAAAUCGUUGAUCCGAGGUAAAGGAUAACGAUUUUUAACCGUCAGCUUGUUGAGCUCCCUGUAGUCGGUGCACAUACGCAACGAUCCGUCUUUCUUCUUGACGAAAAAGACUGGAGCUCCCUAGGGUGAGAAGCUUGGUCUUAUGAAGCCCUUGCUGAGCAGUUCGUUAAGUUGACCGGGCAGUUCUUGCAUCUCUGCAGGUGCUAGACGAUAUGGCGAUUUGGCUAUUGGGGUUGCCCCUGGAACUAUGUCGAUUCGGAACUCGACUUGACGUUGCGGAGGUAAUCCUGGGAGUUCUUCUGGAAAGAUGUCAGGAAAUUCUUGUACUACUGGAAUGUUCUGAAUGCCCUUCGUUUCUUAGCUAACAUCGACCACAUGAGCAAGGAAUGCACGACAUUCCUUUCGCAAGAAUUUAUGAGCCUGAAUGCUCGAGAUGAUAGGAAGGUUCGUGCCGGAUUUGUCUCCAUAGACUACUAAGGUUUCGCCAGACAGCAGAUUAAGGCGAACAACCUUUUCGUAACACAUGAUAUCGGCACGAUGGAGACUCAGCCAAUCCAUACCGAUAAUGACGUCGAAUCUUUUAAUUGAGAUCGACAUAAGAUCGAUAGAAAAUGAAUGGUUAUCUAAAUUUAGGGUACACCCUACGAAUAUAUUGCUAGUGCUCUCUGUCUUCCCAUUAGCCAUUUCUACAGUGAACGGUUCAUUAAGUGCUCGUGAUUUUUGCCUAAGUAAAUGAGCAAAAUUUUGGUUCACGAAACUCCUCUCCGCUCCACUAUCAAAUAGAAUGCAUACAUAAGAGUUAUCGAGGAGGAACGUACCAGUGACCACUGUAGGGUCGGCAACCGCUUCCUCAUGGCCUAUGGACAGAACUCUUGCCGCUCCACCGGAAAACCUUACCUUCGGGCAGUUUCUUUUGAAGUGGCCUACUUCGCCACAUCCGUAGCAAGUUUGGCCCGCUCCAGCACCGGGGGAUUGGUUCAUUGGCUUCGCCGGAGCUUUACAGAAAUGGGUUGUGUGCCCCUUCCCGUUGCAGUUCAGACACUGCAUCUCCCGCCAUGCGCCGUUGUGAUGGAAGCUGCACUUGUUGCACUUACGUAAACUUCCAGAGUACUGCUUUACCGAAGCAGUAGCGGCAGGGGCUAUCGCAGCAUGUACUGCCACGACCUGCCUCUUCUUGGUGGCCUUAGCCUUCUUCUUGUCAUCCCAGAACUUCCGCUUGGGGUCACCGGUCCUUGCAGGCUCUGAGAUGUCCAGGAUAGUUUUUGCGGCCGGGGUACAAACCCCAUGGUUUAUGAGCCGCUGUGCCAAUCUCUUGGCACUAUCAAAUGUAGAGGGGUGUGAUGCCAAAACAUUUCCCUGGUAUGGGGGCACCAGUCCCCAUAUGUAUCUUUCGAUCUUCUUCCCCUCUGAAGGAAUCAUGUUGGGACAGAGGGCCACCAAUUCACCAAACCUGGCGGUGUAGGCGACUACGUUGGAGCCCUUCAUGGUUAGGCCCCACAGUUCUUCCUCCAGCUUUUGGAUCUCUCCCCUCGGGCACUAUUCCUCAAUCAUGAGGUCUCUCAAAGUUUCCCAGCCCAUAGCAUUAGCCACUACCAGAGAUAGUGACUUAACAUGGCCAUUCCACCACGUUAGGGAUUUGGUUUCAAAGGUGCAAGCAUCAUACUUCACCUUGCUCUCCUCGGGACAAGAGCAGAUUUCGAAAACCGAUUCGGUUUUCUCGAACGAUUGCGAGAGGGAAAUGACUCCGCCAGUCCCCUUGAAGGACAAUGGUUUGCAGUUCGUGAAGUCCUUAUAGGAACACUCUCUCGAGUGUACAGGAGCUUCCAUCUGAACAGACUGAACAGGGGUUCCUCCUCCAGUGGAACCCGAUGAAUGAUAUUGAGCCAUGGCUGUAGCCAUAGCCGCAGCUACGGCAGCAUUUAGAGCUAUCGUAUCGAACUGAGGAGUAGGUGGUUAAGGAGGUGGUGUUUCGUUAUUGAGAUUUCUCCUUGGAUUUCUGCGAGACGGCAUCUUUGAUCUAUAGUUUAUGAAGGUGAAAAUAUUGAUAAGAUUUCAAUAGAAGAAUUGAUGAGGAUGACUCAUGGACUAACUCUCCAUACCCCAAUGAUACGAUUGAAUGGAAAUCUAGAUAUAAUAGAUGAUCACAGUUGGAUGAUAAUUCCCAUAAGAUUAGGUACUUGUCAAUAUUACUGGGAUUACAGACGUAAUAAGUUCGGGAAAAACAGUCAACUAAAAGAGGCCUUACAUCAACGAAAAAGGGAAAAUUUUGAGAACAUUACAACCUAAUCAAGACCUAACAUGUCUAUGAUUUACAAAGGUAGGGAAUUAGACCAGAGUUUUUUUCAUAAUUAGGUUAUAUCCAAAAGAUAGAAGUUGAUGAAAAUCUAUCGGCGACGAGAACUACCAGAGUGAGUUCUUGAUCCCAACAGAAGAUGCAUGUCCCUCAUGCGCCUAUCAACCCUUGCUUGCUGAGCUCGAAGUUCUCUGACUUCAGCUUGGAUUUCAAUGAGUUCCCUCUUAAGAGCUGCAUUGCGAACUAGAGUCCUUUCUUGGGCAGACUCCAAUUGGCGAAUGCGGACAGUGUUGACACCAGAGUUGGCAUCAAUUUCCAUGAUUCCAUCGAUGGCUGCUUGACCCUGCUCACCAUUACGAGCUAUUCUGCGAAUCAUGACAGGCAGAGCCCGAUCAGCAGAGCCACCUUCGCUGACGUUGUAAAAGCUUGGGUCCCCAAAGUAAGUUAAGGGUUGUCCCUGCUCAUCGCUCCAGCNACAAGGGUGUGGGUCCUGGAAAUGCUAGACGAGGGUUGUUGUUAGGGGCUUGACCUAUUGGUGGUAGGUUGUUGACUUCUGGCUCUGAGUUAGAACCAUCAGAAAAGCCUUCAGCUUCAUGAUCAUCCAAAGGGAUUGGGUGAUCAUCUUCUGACUCAUCUUCUAGCCAUCCUGCAUUGCCUUGGUUGGGAUUGUACGGGUCUCCGGGAAGGUGGAAUCCAGCCAUUAAAUCUACGCGAGAAGGGAGGUAUAAGAAUCUAACACAUAAGUAACUCAUAGUAAUGUAAAAUACUCCUAUAGUAUUUUAAGUUUAGGUUCUGUUGUUCUCAUUGUGGUAUUGUAGGUAAGUUUUUAGACUUGUUGCAACCUCACAACCACACUUAGGCACAUGCUAGUCAACCCUCGGAUAAUAUAGUUGAUUAGACUAUAUCUUCCUAGUUUUGACCAUAUGUAUCUAAGUCUAAUUGUGUUGCCCAACAAUCGUAAUACUUUUGUACAGUCUUAGUGACAUUGAUUUUAGAAUGAAUGCAGGCACGUAUACUUAAUUAAAUAUUUUAAAUAUUUAAAGUAUAAACUCUUGGUCAGAGUAUUUUAAUCCUAAUGUAUUUAUAGUUAGUAUAUCUUGUAUGGGUUGAUAUACUCAAUUCAGUAUAAACAAUUCUCUAAUACCAAUCCGUCACACCCCAAAACCAUGAAUGGCGGAAACAUUCUGGGGCGGAGGACGUUAUGUACAGUAUCACAAACAAUGAAUAAUAGUAAACAAGCAACAACAUCAUCCAUUGCAUUAUUAGUAUAAUUUCAUACAUGUGUGUUCUGUCAAAGAUAUAGACACCAAAAAUAUACAUAACAAAAAUAACAGAUGAGUCUUGAACGAACUCCGUCUUCUCAAAAGCUUGGCACCUGUACCUGUCUAGUGGUGACCUGAGAAUACAAGUUAUUUUGAAAGCGAGUAUCAGCUUAAAGCUGGUGAGAUCAUAAGUAUAUUAAUGUAUGACUUUGUAUGAAAACAUUUGUAAAAUGUUUUUGUAAGUUGUUUUGUAUAAUGUUUGAACUCUCCUAGAAAACCCUAUGUUUUCUACUAACUGUAUCCUUCUACCAAGGCAUCUAGUGUCUCUGUGUAUGUCUCUUGUUAGAGUGUGUGUUUUCCCAAUUAAGACUAUCAUUAACAAAAAUAUAGUUUCUACAUUACCGUGCAUCGUGUGAAUAUUCACGAAGUGAAUGUAAAAGGGGAAAAUAUUAUCGUACCGUAGUAUUUGUAAUAAGUGACUACCGUGGUACUAACUACCUUAAAACAAAAGGUGUUCCAAGUAACAUGUGAUCAACCUGUAUCCUACUACCGACUCUAGUACAAUGACGAUGUAAGACGCCGUAAGAAAUGACAUUUGGCACCCGUAGACUUGCAAGUCCCACUGUAGCGAGUAACAAGGUGUAGGAUAGUCAAUCCAGUAUAGAUCUAUAUGCAAAAUCAUACGCUCCCCAAUUAAGGAGAUUUGGGAUACAAGAGCAGUCGUGGAAGGAAGUGCCAUGACCCACUCAAUGGUUCACUUAACUCCAUGAAUGUAUAUGUAAUGAAUGUGCUGACUGAAAGUGUAAUCUUCCUCUGUCUAGCCUGAAUGUACUAAAAUGUUCUAUCUGUGCUAGCUGUAAUGUAUGUUCUCUAUAUCUUGCAUGUAUAGUAAUGUACAGUGCGUACUAACUGUAAUGUACUGUAAGUAUUACCCGUACUGACUCAUGAAUGAACUGACUCAUUGUAUGUUUCAUUGUUCUAGUAAUAGUAAUAGUAUCUUCCUGUGCUACCCCUAUGGUAACUUACUAGUGAUGUAACUGGCACGUAUGAACAUGGAAGUAUACCCUUGCUACCCCAAAGGUACCGAAUGAACUGGAACGACCUUUAUGACUAUAUAUGUACACAUGAUAUAUAACUAAUAUUUAAACGACCUUCGGACGAGUACCCGAUAUUCCACCAGACCACAUCCAAAUCGAGGAAAAGGAAAUAGGGCGGGCAGGCCUUCCUAAGCUUUUUAAACAUUGCUUAUAUAACUGUACAUACCUAGACAUGCAAUUGAUAAUAAGUAAAACAGAGUUUAAGUAAAUGUAUCUGAUAAGUAUAACAACUUGUAAAACAGUUUGAAGCAAAACAAUUUGAUAAACAAUUUGAACAAUAAUGUAAAUCACUGGCUUUGUAGUUAUUAAUCACAUGUGAUUGAUGUAAUAACUAUAAGUAUUUGACUUGUAUCCCNUUAAAGCAUUUAAAAAACAUUUAAACCAUUGAUUAAGGGGUAUGAACUCACCUGUAGUGAGUGGUACGGAUGUACUGAAGAUGUAGGAUUGCUAGGUGUUAAGUGAAGUCUUGAACACACGCUAUGAUCCUAGUUAACAUAUAAUCACACAUAUGUGUUCCCAAUUAGAUUUAAACUACUAAUUGAAAUUUUUUAGACCUCCUAGAACCUGCUAAACACUUUACAUAAGUGUUAUUAGCCUUAAGGACUUCAUCUAAAUUGUUGUAAGACUCGGCUAGUGAGUUUAGGGUUCCA
Molecule: long non-coding RNA, 9253 nt
Filed under: Lactuca sativa (garden lettuce)
Lineage: Eukaryota; Viridiplantae; Streptophyta; Magnoliopsida; Asterales; Asteraceae
Description: long non-coding RNA (LSAT_LNC005234)
Source: RNAcentral